UACGUGCGGGGCGAACGUUGUUCGGUGUCACUGGGCUUAAAGGGUGCGUAGGUGGUUGCGUAAGUAAGGUGUGAAAUCCCUCGGCUUACCCGGGGAAUUGCAUUUUAUACUGCGUGGCUUGAGGACUAAAGGGGAAAAGGGAACUCCAGGUGUAGCGGUGAAAUGCGCAGAUAUCUGGGGGAAGGCCGGCGGCGAAGGCGCUUUUCUGGUUAGUACCUGACACUGAGGCACGAAAGCGUGGGGAGCAAACAGG
RNAcentral lists this ribosomal RNA (253 nucleotides) under uncultured bacterium. Its description in RNAcentral is "partial 16S ribosomal RNA". It matches the Rfam family "Bacterial small subunit ribosomal RNA", at positions 524 to 776 of the family's 1533-position model. The record is from RNAcentral.